Nematostella vectensis (starlet sea anemone) is the source of this 403-nucleotide long non-coding RNA. RefSeq lists it as uncharacterized. The record is from RefSeq and is a predicted model, not a curated record. The transcript has 2 exons. Lineage: Eukaryota; Metazoa; Cnidaria; Anthozoa; Actiniaria; Edwardsiidae.
AAAGAUGUUUGCUGAGGUUUGGAUCCUUUGGGUUUGAAUUGGAAUCUUGCAGCCGCUGCUUGACUGAAGAAUAUUAUUUACUAUAUGGCCCAUAUUCCAGCCCCCACUAGAGGCCCUGAAUAAUCUGCCAAACCAUCAGGAUUUACAAACCUGCCUACCACUCCACCGGCGCCUGCUGAUGCUGUGCACUUAUGAUCCUGCUCGUGCCGAUGCUUUAGGCAAUAGUUUUGACGACAAGAUUCACAACGCACUUUGAUUAACUACAAAAGAGCAGACAGAUUUCCUCAGCCACCUAUCACAACUACCGCAAAACUUUAGGGAGCCUAGGUUGGGCAUUUACUGUAUUCAUUCAUGUAUAAUAUGCAGUUUGAGGUCAAUAAAAAAAAAGAAGUGUGUUGAAAAA